Molecule: ribosomal RNA, 785 nt
Filed under: Coleroa circinans
Lineage: Eukaryota; Fungi; Ascomycota; Dothideomycetes; Venturiales; Venturiaceae
Description: partial large subunit ribosomal RNA
Rfam family: Eukaryotic large subunit ribosomal RNA
Source: RNAcentral
GCAACAGCUCAAAUUUGAAAUCUGGCGCAAGCCCGAGUUGUAAUUUGUAGAGGAUGUUUCGGGUGAAGCCACGGUCCAAGUCCCUUGGAACAGGACGUCAUAGAGGGUGAGAACCCCGUACCUGGCCGUCGGUGCCCCCCGCUGUGAAACUCCUUCGACGAGUCGAGUUGUUUGGGAAUGCAGCUCUAAAUUGGUGGUGAAUUCCAUCUAAAGCUAAAUACCGGCCAGAGACCGAUAGCGCACAAGUAGAGUGAUCGAAAGAUGAAAAGCACUUUGAAAAGAGAGUUAAAAAGUACGUGAAAUUGUUGAAAGGGAAGCGCUUGCGGCCAGACUUGCCCGCGGUUGCUCAGCCCGCCUUUUGGCGGGUGCACUCUUCCGCGGUCAGGCCAGCAUCGGUUUGGGCGGCCGGAUAAAGGCGUAGGGAACGUGGCCUCCCCUCGGGGAGGUGUUAUAGCCCUGCGCGCAAUGCGACCAGCCCGGACCGAGGUUCGCGCUUUGCUAGGAUGCUGGCGUAAUGGCCGUAAGCGGCCCGUCUUGAAACACGGACCAAGGAGUCUAACAUCUAUGCGAGUGUUUGGGUGUCAAACCCGUGCGCGUAAUGAAAGUGAACGGAGGUGGGAACCCGCAAGGUGCACCAUCGACCGAUCCUGAUGUCUUCGGAAGGAUUUGAGUAAGAGCAUAGCUGUUGGGACCCGAAAGAUGGUGAACUAUGCGUGAAUAGGGUGAAGCCAGAGGAAACUCUGGUGGAGGCUCGCAGCGGUUCUGACGUGCAAAUCGAUCGUCAA